RNAcentral lists this ribosomal RNA (460 nucleotides) under uncultured bacterium. RNAcentral describes it as "partial 16S ribosomal RNA". It matches the Rfam family "Bacterial small subunit ribosomal RNA", at positions 338 to 795 of the family's 1533-position model. The record is from RNAcentral.
CCUACGGGCGGCUGCAGUGAGGAAUAUUGGUCAAUGGACGAGAGUCUGAACCAGCCAAGUAGCGUGAAGGAUUACUGCCCUAUGGGUUGUAAACUUCUUUUAUAUGGGAAUAAAAUGUUCAACGUGUGGGACUUUGUAUGGACCAUAUGAAUAAGGAUCGGCUAACUCCGGCCCAGCAGCCGCGGUAAUACGGAGGAUCCGAGCGUUAUCCGGAUUUAUUGGGUGUAAAGGGAGCGUAGGUGGAUUGUUAAGUCAGUUGUGAAAGUUUGCGGCUCAACCGUAAAAUUGCAGUUGAAACUGGCAGUCUUGAGUACAGUAGAGGUGGGCGGAAUUCGUGGUGUAGCGGUGAAAUGCUUAGAUAUCACGAAGAACACCGAUUGCGAAGGCAGGUCACUGGACUGCAACUGACACUGAGGCUCGAAAGUGUGGGUAUCAAACAGGAUUAGAUACCCUUGUAGUC